This 648-nucleotide ribosomal RNA is filed under the name Kuraishia capsulata. Its description in RNAcentral is "SSU rRNA". It matches the Rfam family "Eukaryotic small subunit ribosomal RNA", at positions 947 to 1617 of the family's 1831-position model. The record is from RNAcentral. Lineage: Eukaryota; Fungi; Ascomycota; Pichiomycetes; Pichiales; Pichiaceae. RNAcentral also lists the same sequence under 2 other names.
GAAAGCAUUUGCCAAGGACGUUUUCAUUAAUCAAGAACGAAAGUUAGGGGAUCGAAGAUGAUCAGAUACCGUCGUAGUCUUAACCAUAAACUAUGCCGACUAGGGAUCGGGCGUUGUUCUUUUUAUGACUCGCUCGGCACCUUACGAGAAAUCAAAGUUUUUGGGUUCUGGGGGGAGUAUGGUCGCAAGGCUGAAACUUAAAGGAAUUGACGGAAGGGCACCACCAGGAGUGGAGCCUGCGGCUUAAUUUGACUCAACACGGGAAAUCUCACCAGGUCCAGACACAAUAAGGAUUGACAGAUUGAGAGCUCUUUCUUGAUUUUGUGGGUGGUGGUGCAUGGCCGUUCUUAGUUGGUGGAGUGAUUUGUCUGCUUAAUUGCGAUAACGAACGAGACCUUAACCUACUAAAUAGUGCUGUUAGCUUCGGCUGAACUGGCACUUCUUAGAGGGACUAUCGAUUUCAAGUCGAUGGAAGUUUGAGGCAAUAACAGGUCUGUGAUGCCCUUAGACGUUCUGGGCCGCACGCGCGCUACACUGACGGAGCCAGCAAGUACUAUCCUUGGCCGAAAGGUCCGGGUAAUCUCGUGAAACUCCGUCGUGCUGGGGAUAGAGCAUUGAAAUUAUUGCUCUUCAACGAGGAAUUCCUAG